This 663-nucleotide ribosomal RNA is filed under the name Burkholderia sp. A37C5. RNAcentral describes it as "bacterial SSU rRNA". It matches the Rfam family "Bacterial small subunit ribosomal RNA", at positions 72 to 731 of the family's 1533-position model. The record is from RNAcentral. Lineage: Bacteria; Pseudomonadati; Pseudomonadota; Betaproteobacteria; Burkholderiales; Burkholderiaceae.
CAGGGAGCUUGCUCCGCUGACGAGUGGCGAACGGGUGAGUAAUACAUCGGAACGUGUCCUGUAGUGGGGGAUAGCCCGGCGAAAGCCGGAUUAAUACCGCAUACGCUCUACGGAGGAAAGGGGGGGAUCUUCGGACCUCUCGCUAUAGGGGCGGCCGAUGGCAGAUUAGCUAGUUGGUGGGGUAAAGGCCUACCAAGGCGACGAUCUGUAGCUGGUCUGAGAGGACGACCAGCCACACUGGGACUGAGACACGGCCCAGACUCCUACGGGAGGCAGCAGUGGGGAAUUUUGGACAAUGGGCGCAAGCCUGAUCCAGCAAUGCCGCGUGUGUGAAGAAGGCCUUCGGGUUGUAAAGCACUUUUGUUCGGGAAGAAAAGGAGUGGGCUAAUAUCCUGCUCUGAUGACGGUACCGGAAGAAUAAGCACCGGCUAACUACGUGCCAGCAGCCGCGGUAAUACGUAGGGUGCAAGCGUUAAUCGGAAUUACUGGGCGUAAAGCGUGCGCAGGCGGUUUGUUAAGACAGAUGUGAAAUCCCCGGGCUCAACCUGGGAACUGCAUUUGUGACUGGCAAGCUAGAGUCUGGCAGAGGGGGGUGGAAUUCCGCGUGUAGCAGUGAAAUGCGUAAAUAUGCGGAGGAACACCGAUGGCGAAGGCAGCCCCCUG